CUCUCUCUCUCUCUCUUUCCCUCUCUCCCUCUCUUUCUCUCGGACUUCUCCCCUCUCUCCAUCACCAUGACCCAACAUCAUGGCAACCAUCGCAGUCUCAUCUCUCAAUCUUCUUCUCUCUUAACUAUGACAGUACCAGGAUCUUCCGGACCAACAGCUCAAACCCUAUCUCAUCCUUUUGCUCUCUAUCACUCUCCAAAACAAAAAACACUAGAAACCCACUCAACCAACAAGCCAAAUCCACAGCCCGCACCAACCCAAACUACCUCUAUCUGUCGUCCAAUACUUCUCUUUUUGCUCUAAUUAUGAUUUUUGUGUUGGAUGCACUGGUACGUGCCUCAUUGAGCUUCCAGUAGCCCUUCACUUCCACAUCCACGGAUCCACCCUCCAAAGUCUUUGUUUAGAAUUUUUUUUGUUUGGUAUGAACUUGCAGGUUAGACUUAGAAUACUUGGAUCUAACGGGAAGACGGGACACAGAAUCGAGCGCAAUGGCGUUUAUGGAUUCAUAUAGCCGAUCCCACUUAGUGGGAAAAUGCUUUGUUGUUAUUGUUGUUGUUGUAUGAACUUGCAAGUUGGAAUUUUCCUGAGUUGCUUAGGUUUUUCUUGAUGACUUAAGGUAGAACAAUUUGGUUGGUUGUUUAUACACAUUAAUGAACAAAGGAAAGAAAAUUUGAUGCA
This is a long non-coding RNA of Malus domestica (apple), 678 nucleotides long. RefSeq lists it as uncharacterized. Lineage: Eukaryota; Viridiplantae; Streptophyta; Magnoliopsida; Rosales; Rosaceae. The record is from RefSeq and is a predicted model, not a curated record.